RNAcentral lists this ribosomal RNA (459 nucleotides) under uncultured bacterium. Its description in RNAcentral is "partial 16S ribosomal RNA". It matches the Rfam family "Bacterial small subunit ribosomal RNA", at positions 338 to 795 of the family's 1533-position model. The record is from RNAcentral.
CCUACGGGUGGCAGCAGUGAGGAAUAUUGGUCAAUGGGCGCGAGCCUGAACCAGCCAAGUCGCGUGAGGGAUGACGGUCCUAUGGAUUGUAAACCUCUUUUGUCGGGGAGCAACAGACGCCACGCGUGGCGUUCCGAGAGUACCCGACGAAUAAGCAUCGGCUAAGUCCGUGCCAGCAGCCGCGGUAAUACGGAGGAUGCGAGCGUUAUCCGGAUUUAUUGGGCUUAAAGGGUGCGCAGGCGGAAGAUCAAGUCAGCUGUAAAAUUGAGCGGCUCAACCUCUUCGAGCCGUUGAAACUGGUUGUCUUGAGUGAACGAGAGGCAGGCGGAAUGCGUGGUGUAGCGGUGAAAUGCAUAGAUAUCACGAGGAACUCCGAUUGCGAAGGCAGCAUGCCGGGGCGCAACUGACGCUCAUGCACGAAGGUGUGGGUAUCAAACAGGAUUAGAUACCCGAGUAGUC